RNAcentral lists this non-coding RNA (161 nucleotides) under human gut metagenome. Its description in RNAcentral is "Lysine riboswitch". It matches the Rfam family "Lysine riboswitch aptamer". Rfam says of the family: Riboswitches are metabolite binding domains within certain messenger RNAs that serve as precision sensors for their corresponding targets. Allosteric rearrangement of mRNA structure is mediated by ligand binding, and this results in modulation of gene expression. The record is from RNAcentral.
UAAUAGAGGCGCGAAGUGCAUCAGUAGCACCGGGCAAGGCCAGGCAGCCGUCCGGUGGGAAAGGGAGCUUCGCCGAAGGGCCGCAUGAUGCCUGCAGUGCGGUUACCUGGGCCGUCGGAGAAGAUCCGCCGGACUGCCACGGAUCUGUGGAGCGCUAUCGG